RNAcentral lists this ribosomal RNA (153 nucleotides) under uncultured fungus. Its description in RNAcentral is "5.8S ribosomal RNA". It matches the Rfam family "5.8S ribosomal RNA". From Rfam's summary of the family: 5.8S ribosomal RNA (5.8S rRNA) is a component of the large subunit of the eukaryotic ribosome. The record is from RNAcentral. Lineage: Eukaryota; Fungi.
AACUUUCAACAAAGGAUCUCUUGGCUCUCGCAUCGAUGAAGAACGCAGCAAAGCGCGAAAUGUAGUGUGAAUUGCAGAACAUUGUGAAUCAUCGAAUCUUUGAACGCACAUUGCACCUCUCGCAGGGGAGGUAUGCCUGUCUGAGCGUCAUUG